ACGCUCGACACCUACGGGGGCAGCAGUCGGGAAUAUUGCGCAAUGGAGGGAACUCUGACGCAGUGACGCCGCGUAUAGGAAGAAGGUUUUCGGAUUGUAAACUAUUGUCGUUAGGGAAGAGAAAGGACAGUACCUAAGGAGGAAGCUCCGGCUAACUACGUGCAAGCAGCCGCGGUAAUCUGAGCGGGCUGGCAAGGC
RNAcentral lists this ribosomal RNA (198 nucleotides) under uncultured bacterium. Its description in RNAcentral is "partial 16S ribosomal RNA". It matches the Rfam family "Bacterial small subunit ribosomal RNA", at positions 328 to 539 of the family's 1533-position model. The record is from RNAcentral.